Molecule: ribosomal RNA, 458 nt
Filed under: Bathyacmaea lactea
Lineage: Eukaryota; Metazoa; Mollusca; Gastropoda; Acmaeidae
Description: partial large subunit ribosomal RNA
Rfam family: Bacterial large subunit ribosomal RNA
Source: RNAcentral
UGGCCGCGGUACCCUGACCGUGCAAAGGUAGCAUAAUCAUUUGUCUUUUAAUUAAUGACUAGCAUGAACGGUAUGAUGAGAGUAAGACUGUCUCUUAAUUAUUUUAUUGAAACUACCCUUUAAGUGAAAAGGCUUAAAUUACUUUAUAAGACAAUAAGACCCUGUCGAGCUUUAAGUUUUAUAUAGAAAACAAAAUAAAUAUUACUUCAUCUAUAUAACUUUUAGUUGGGGCGACUAAGGAACACACAAAACUUCCUCUAAUAAAAAAAGCUUUCAAGCAAUGACCCAGAAACAAGUUUCUGAUCAAAAGAAAUAGCUACCGCAGGGAUAACAGCGUUAUUCUUUUUGUGAGACCAUAUUAAAAAAAGAGUUUGCGACCUCGAUGUUGGAUUAAGAUAUCCUAAAAGUGCAACAACUUUUAAGGGCUGGUUUGUUCAACCAUUAAAAUCUUACAUGAU